UGUUAAAAAUUUCAUCUAUUGAUAUGCUUAACGGAACAACCACACAGUGACACAUGGUGUGUCACAUGUACGUCAUGUUGAUGUACAGAAACUAGUUUUUAACGGUAGAAUUGGAUGAAAUUUUUAACA
Non-coding RNA from Gossypium raimondii (Peruvian cotton), 129 nucleotides. NCBI's taxonomy places the organism in Eukaryota, Viridiplantae, Streptophyta, Magnoliopsida, Malvales, Malvaceae. The record is from Rfam.